UUUAUGGAGAGUUUGAUCCUGGCUCAGGAUGAACGCUGGCGGCGUGCCUAAUACAUGCAAGUCGAGCGAACGGACGAGAAGCUUGCUUCUCUGAUGUUAGCGGCGGACGGGUGAGUAACACGUGGAUAACCUACCUAUAAGACUGGGAUAACUUCGGGAAACCGGAGCUAAUACCGGAUAAUAUUUUGAACCGCAUGGUUCAAAAGUGAAAGACGGUCUUGCUGUCACUUAUAGAUGGAUCCGCGCUGCAUUAGCU
Molecule: ribosomal RNA, 256 nt
Filed under: Staphylococcus aureus
Lineage: Bacteria; Bacillati; Bacillota; Bacilli; Caryophanales; Staphylococcaceae
Description: partial 16S ribosomal RNA
Rfam family: Bacterial small subunit ribosomal RNA
Source: RNAcentral